This 598-nucleotide long non-coding RNA is filed under the name Hordeum vulgare. RNAcentral's name for it is "long non-coding RNA (HVUL_LNC007633)". The record is from RNAcentral. Lineage: Eukaryota; Viridiplantae; Streptophyta; Magnoliopsida; Poales; Poaceae.
GGUACAACUGGACGAUUUUUUAACGUCGGUGAUAAAAAAAGAGCCUGCUGGGGGCGCAGCUCAAGAUGCUCUAAAGAGUAGCAUAUUCAUUUUCGGAUAGACAGUCUUAAACUUUUAUGUAUCUGUGGGACAGAGAAGGAUCACCAGCAAAUAGCACACUACAAGGAGCUGUAUGAGAAUUGUUGAUGUUCUUUUUAUUUUCGUUCCAAGGCAGCGGUGUGCAAAUUAAAUUGUACUGUACGUACUAAAUAUAUGAUGUAAAGGUCACACGCUCACAGCGUCAGAGAGUAAUUUUUGCAACACAAGCCACGUGAAGCUGAUCCUGGGACAACUUUGUUUGCACGCCUCACCAACCAACAGUGCUUAGGCAAGUAAUGUUAGCAUGUGAAGCCACGGAGGUGACACCAACAAAACCAUCCAGAAUCUAUUCAAAUGCAGGGCCAUAGUAUCUUAGGCAAGUAAUGUUAGCAUGUGAAGCCACGGAGGUGACACCAACAAAACCAUCCAGAAUCUAUUCAAAUGCAGGGCCAUAGUAUCUCCUCAACAUGUCAUGUGCACCCCUUUGCAACCAUCAUUUGGACAAAAUAUUCAACGGAAA